This 485-nucleotide ribosomal RNA is filed under the name uncultured bacterium. RNAcentral's name for it is "bacterial SSU rRNA". It matches the Rfam family "Bacterial small subunit ribosomal RNA", at positions 8 to 526 of the family's 1533-position model. The record is from RNAcentral.
AGAGUUUGAUCAUGGCUCAGAACGAACGUUGGCGGCGUGGAUUAGGCAUGCAAGUCGCGGGAAUCCCAGCAAUGGGGGAACCGGCGUAAGGGGCAGUAAGGCGUGGGUACCCACCCCGGGGUCCGGGAUAGCCCGCCGAGAGGCGGGGUAAUACCGGAUGACCUCGGGAGAGCAAAGCUCCGGCGCCCCGGGCGGGGCCCACGUGAUAUUAGCUGGUUGGCGGGGUGACGGCCCACCAAGGCGGAGAUGUCUAGCGGGUGUGAGAGCACGACCCGCGCCACUCGCACUGAGACACUGGCGAGACACCUACGGGUGGCUGCAGUCGAGGAUCUUCGGCACUGGGCGCAAGCCCGACCGAGCGACGCCGCGUGUGCGACGAAGGCCUUCGGGUUGUAAAGCACUGUCGAGGGGGAGAAAAGCCGCAAGGCUUGAUCUAUCCCUGGAGGAAGCUCGGGCUAAGUUCGUGCCAGCAGCCGCGGUAAUAC